GGAGAGGUCGCAUAGUGGCCGAGUGCGCUCGCUUGGAAAGCGGGUAUGGGGGCAACUCCAUCGAGGGUUCGAAUCCCUCCCUCUCCGCCA
RNAcentral lists this transfer RNA (90 nucleotides) under bacterium. Its description in RNAcentral is "tRNA-Ser". It matches the Rfam family "tRNA". Rfam says of the family: Transfer RNA (tRNA) molecules are approximately 80 nucleotides in length. Their secondary structure includes four short double-helical elements and three loops (D, anti-codon, and T loops). The record is from RNAcentral.